This 1407-nucleotide ribosomal RNA is filed under the name Triticum aestivum (bread wheat). Its description in RNAcentral is "partial small subunit ribosomal RNA". The record is from RNAcentral. Lineage: Eukaryota; Viridiplantae; Streptophyta; Magnoliopsida; Poales; Poaceae.
AUGGAGAAACCCAAGAGAUCAAGCCAGCCAUCACACAGGCGAUUCGAGUCGCUGGACGUCAAGAGGUCGUCUUCCUCGCUCAACAUGUCCACGUCUUCCCUCAGGAGCAUCAACGAGGAGGACAGGGGGGCCGCCGCCGCCCAUGCGGGCAGGAGGCCCACCGUCGUGAGGUUCGCUCCCACCCCUACACCUCCGCGACCGUCGUCGUCGUCGGGGACGAGGAGGGGCUCGCAUUUGGCGCCACAGCUGCAGGCGCCCAAGGCGGCAAGGCCUGCAACUGCUGCCGUGCGUCCGGCUUCGCCUUCCGGACCGAAGCCGGCCAGGCCGUCGCCUGCGGAGUCUGGACCGAAGGCGACGAGGAGGAGCUGGGGGUGCACGGGGAGCUCGGGUGAUCAGAAGGAGAGGGUGACCGGUGAUGUGAUCGGCGGGGAAAGGAGCAAGGGGGCGGCAGCGACGCUGGUGCGGAGUUCCUCGGUUCCAAGAAGCAGAAAGCCGGUAGAGGAGAAACCACUGCAGAAAAGGGAGAGCAAGACCAAUAUCAUCUCCAGGACUAAGCAAAGACCCACUGCAUCUCCGAAACCAGAUGUUCUCCACAAGCCCGGCGCGCAGAGAAGCCCCAGCAUUGCCACCAAGACGAGCGAGAAGCGACCCCCCACUCCCGGCGGUGCAUCGCCGGACGACAUGGUCAAGGUUUCUCCUCCCCGUUCGACAUCGGCGACGACGAUGGGCGCCUCGUGGGAAUCGCUUCCACCGGCCCUCCAGACUCUCGGAUCGGGAGUCAUGAGUUAUAGGGAUGCUGCAGAGAUGGCCGCUGUGGAGGCCAUGCAGGAAGCUUCUGCUGCAGAGAUUGUGCUCAGAUGUCUCAGUGCCUUCGCGGAUUUGGCCGCCACCGCCGGCAAGCAGUCGCCGCAGCAGACCGUGGACGAGUUCCUCGCGCUCCAAGCCGCGAUUGCCCGCUCCACCGCCGCGCUCGGCAACCAGCAACGGAGUGGCCACGCCGGCGAGUGGCUGCACGCGGCGGUCACCGCCGACCUGUCGCCUUUCUCGCUCUACACCGCCCCGUCGUCGUCGUCCAGGAAGCGGGGCACCGAGUCGCCUGCCGUCUCCGCCACGCCGAGGCCGGUGGCCGCCGCGGAGGAGGCCGACACCUGGCUGGAGACGGCGGCGAGGGAGCUCGGGGAGGAGAUGUGCGCGUGGUUCGUCGGGCACGUGGACCGGCUGCUCGAAGCCGACGUGGCCGGGACGCUGGGACAGCUCAAGAGGGUCAACGACUGGCUGGACGACGUCGGGCUCCGGACGGACGCCGUCGAGCGGCUGAAGCAGAAGAUCUUCGGGUACCUGCUGGAUCACGUCGAGUCGGCGGUGGUCGCGUUAAACGGCGGCGUUGCAUCCAACCGGAGAAAAUAG